GGAUUAGAUACCCGGGUAGUCCACGCCGUAAACGGUGGGUGCUAGGUGUAGGCGGUAUUCCACGCCGUCUGUGCCGCAGCUAACGCAUUAAGCACCCCGCCUGGGGAGUACGGCCGCAAGGCUAAAACUCAAAGGAAUUGACGGGGGCCCGCACAAGCAGCGGAGCAUGUGGCUUAAUUCGACGCAACGCGAAGAACCUUACCAAGGCUUGACAUACACCGAAAACUCGUAGAGAUACGGGGUCCGCAAGGGCGGUGUACAGGUGGUGCAUGGUUGUCGUCAGCUCGUGUCGUGAGAUGUUGGGUUAAGUCCCGCAACGAGCGCAACCCUCGUUCUAUGUUGCCAGCGCGUUAUGGCGGGGACUCAUAGGAGACUGCCGGGGUCAACUCGGAGG
This 394-nucleotide ribosomal RNA is filed under the name uncultured bacterium. RNAcentral's name for it is "bacterial SSU rRNA". It matches the Rfam family "Bacterial small subunit ribosomal RNA", at positions 775 to 1169 of the family's 1533-position model. The record is from RNAcentral.